AUUGAACGCUGGCGGCAUGCUUUACACAUGCAAGUCGAACGGCAGCGCGGGCUUCGGCCUGGCGGCGCGUGGCGAACGGGUGAGUAAUACAUCGGAACGUGCCCAGUAGUGGGGGAUAGCUCGGCGAAAGCCGGAUUAAUACCGCAUACGACCUGAGGGUGAAAGCGGGGGAUCUUCGGACCUCGCGCUAUUGGAGCGGCCGAUGGCAGAUUAGCUAGUUGGUGGGGUAAAGGCCUACCAAGGCGACGAUCUGUAGCUGGUCUGAGAGGACGACCAGCCACACUGGGACUGAGACACGGCCCAGACUCCUACGGGAGGCAGCAGUGGGGAAUGUUGGACAAUGGGCGAAAGCCUGAUCCAGCAAUGCCGCGUGUGUGAUGAAGGCCUUCGGGUUGUAAAGCACUUUUGGCGGGAACGAAAAGGACUGUGCCAAUACCACGGUUCGAUGACGGUACCCGCAGAAUAAGCACCGGCUAACUACGUG
RNAcentral lists this ribosomal RNA (484 nucleotides) under uncultured bacterium. RNAcentral's name for it is "partial 16S ribosomal RNA". It matches the Rfam family "Bacterial small subunit ribosomal RNA", at positions 29 to 507 of the family's 1533-position model. The record is from RNAcentral.